AUACGUAGGUGACAAGCGUUAUCCGGAUUUACUGGGCGUAAAGGGCGUGUAGGCGGUCUUGCAAGUCAGAAGUGAAAUUCCUGAGCUCAACUCGGGCGCUGCUUCUGAAACUGCAGGACUUGAGUGCUGGAGGGGAUAGCGGAAUUCCUAGUGGAGCGGUAAAAUGCGCAGAUAUUAGGAAUAACACCGGUGGCGAAGGCGGCGAUCUGGACAGUACCUGACGCUGAGGCUCGAAAUAGUGGGGAGCAAACAGGAUGAGAUCCCCGGGUAUGCCACGCCGUAAACGAUGAAUACUAGGUGUAGGGGGUAUCGACUCCCUCUGUGCCGCAGUUAACACAAUAAGUGUUCCGCCUGGGGAGUACGGCCGCAAGGUUGAGACUCACAUGAAUUGGCGGGG
RNAcentral lists this ribosomal RNA (397 nucleotides) under uncultured bacterium. RNAcentral describes it as "partial 16S ribosomal RNA". It matches the Rfam family "Bacterial small subunit ribosomal RNA", at positions 523 to 918 of the family's 1533-position model. The record is from RNAcentral.